Non-coding RNA from Parelaphostrongylus tenuis, 80 nucleotides. The record is from the annotation of a GenBank genome assembly. NCBI's taxonomy places the organism in Eukaryota, Metazoa, Nematoda, Chromadorea, Rhabditida, Metastrongylidae.
GCCUCGGUGGUGUAGUGGUAGAGCACGCGUACCCGGAUAGGAUGAAAGAUGAUAGGCGGGUUCGAUUCCCACCUGAGGCC